Rhodamnia argentea is the source of this 203-nucleotide long non-coding RNA. RefSeq lists it as uncharacterized. The record is from RefSeq and is a predicted model, not a curated record. NCBI's taxonomy places the organism in Eukaryota, Viridiplantae, Streptophyta, Magnoliopsida, Myrtales, Myrtaceae. The transcript has 3 exons.
AAUGUCGACUUGAACGAUGGCAAUUUGCUCCAGGGUCAUGAAUCAUCAUAAGCUAGGUGAUUCUCCUAUGCUCGAUAUGCCUUACCCUUUUCACUAUUUAAUCCAUUGUGGUUUUUCUUUUCAUUACUAAACCAAGUAUGAUUGUCUCACAAGAGAAUCGGAUGGGGUAAAAAGAGUUAAAGCAGACGAGGAAUUUACAUUCU